UGGAGGAGCACACAGAGGCAGGCUCGGCACCAGAGCUGGGGGCCCAGAAGGCCCUGAUUGACAAUCCUGCUGACAUCCUAGUCAUUGCUGCAUAUUUCCUGCUGGUCAUUGGCGUUGGCUUGUGGUCCAUGUGCAGAACCAACAGAGGCACUGUGGGCGGCUACUUCCUGGCAGGACGCAGCAUGGUGUGGUGGCCGGUGAGACGGGCUGGGCCGGGAACGGGAGGGGCCUGGAGAAGCAGCCCUGCUCACUCCCUCCUCUGGCCACCCAGGUUGGGGCCUCUCUCUUCGCCAGCAACAUCGGCAGUGGCCACUUUGUGGGCCUGGCAGGGACUGGCGCUGCAAGUGGCUUGGCUGUUGCUGGAUUCGAGUGGAAUGUGAGGCCCUCUUUUUUCCAAUAACCCCACCCUCAGUAAGAACACCUGGAAGGGUCACACCUUAGGGAAACUCCAGGAAAGGGGGAAUGAGACUGGCAGUGGGACUUCCCAACUGCGGGGUGUGGCUGGGCUGGGAGUGGAGGUCAUACAUCUAGCCAGGAAGCAGAGGGGUGCAGGGGUGACCACUGUUGGUCCUGCUUCUGACUUGCCAUGUGAGCCAGCCUGCACCAGCCACUGCCUCUGGGGGCUUCCAUUUAUUCCUCUCUGAGUGGGGUGAGCAGCCUCAAAGCCAGGGAAGCACCUGCUCAGAUGCGCUCCGAAGCUGUGGUCUGUGAGGAAUUUGGGGCCAAGUUAAAGCCCUUUGCAGAAGUGAGGAGCAGAGACAAAGCUCUGGGACUGAGGCUCCUGUUGGAGGGGAGAUUGGGCUUUGAGCUCAGGGCUUCCUGGAGGAGGAGACUGCUGAGCUGAUCCUUGAGGGACACAAGGUUUGGGUGGCUUUGGCUCAGGUCAGUCUGAGGGGUCUAUGCUGGGGUUCAUCUCUAGAUGAUCAUAGGGACAACAUUGGGAAAAACGGGCCAGAAGUGAUAGCCUGGGGAGACAAGGAGGGCUCCAGUUAAGAGCCCAGGAGGGUGUCAGCUCUGUUCCUUGGUGCCCAGGGCCCCGGGGCCAUCACCUGCAGUUGUCCUCUGGGCC
RNAcentral lists this small RNA (1069 nucleotides) under Pan troglodytes (chimpanzee). Its description in RNAcentral is "retained intron". Lineage: Eukaryota; Metazoa; Chordata; Mammalia; Primates; Hominidae. The record is from RNAcentral.